GUCGCUUGCUUCAGGCAUACUCUUUCUUUAUUUUUUAGAGAAAAUAAGUCCUGCGUCAGAAAAUAAAAUAUCAGAAAAAAUAUAAAAACUAUUUGAUAGUUCAAUCUGUACAGUAAUUUUUGUCUCAUUUAUCUGCCAUCUAAUCAAUUGCAUUGUUAGCCUUUCUAAAAAUAUAUUAUUUUUAAAAAAAAUAAAGCGAAAAUUAUUGACGACCAAUCAUAUAUUAAUGAUUGAAAAAAUUUAAAAUUAGAUGAAU
RNAcentral lists this long non-coding RNA (256 nucleotides) under Elaeis guineensis (African oil palm). RNAcentral's name for it is "long non-coding RNA (EGUI_LNC027665)". Lineage: Eukaryota; Viridiplantae; Streptophyta; Magnoliopsida; Arecales; Arecaceae. The record is from RNAcentral.